Molecule: ribosomal RNA, 789 nt
Filed under: uncultured archaeon
Lineage: Archaea
Description: bacterial SSU rRNA
Rfam family: Archaeal small subunit ribosomal RNA
Source: RNAcentral
CUGCCGGCGGCCACCGCUAUUGGAAUUCGAUUAAGACAUGCGUGUCGAGAGACGUAAGGUCUCGGCGGACCGCUGAGUAACACGCGGAUAACAUGCCCUAAGGUGGAGGAUAACCUCGGGAAACUGAGAAUAAUACUCCAUAGAUCUAGGAUGCUGGAACGCUUCUAGAUCCAAAACUCCGGUGCCUUAGGAUUGGUCUGCGGCGUAUCAGGUUGUAGUGGGUGUAACGGACCCACUAGCCUAUGACGCGUAUGGGCCUUGAGAGAGGAAGCCCACAGAUGGACUCUGAGACAUGAGUCCAGGCCCUACGGGGCGCAGCAGUCGCGAAAACUUCACAAUGGGAGAAAUCCCGAUGAGGGAAUUCCAAGUGCUAGCACUAUGUGUUAGCUGUUCUUUUGUCUAAAAAACAGAAGAAGUAAGGGCCGGGUAAGACGGGUGCCAGCCGCCGCGGUAAUACCCGCGGCCCGAGUGGUGGUCGAUAUUAUUGAGCCUAAAACGUCCGUAGCCGGUCUUGUAAAUCCUUGGGUAAAUCGGCCAGCUUAACUGUCCGAAGUCCGGGGAGACUGCAAGACUUGGGAUCGGGAGAGGUCAGAGGUACUUCUGGGGUAGGGGUAAAAUCCUGUAAUCCUGGAAGGACCACCGGUGGCGAAAGCGUCUGACUAGAACGAAUUCGACGGUGAGGGACGAAGCCCUGGGGCGCAAACGGGAUUAGAUACCCCGGUAGUCCAGGUGUAAACGCUGCGGGCUUGGUGUUGGGGGUCCUUUGUGGCCGCCCAGUGCCGGAGAGAG